GUUCCCAGACUAGGGGGUCGAAUCAGAGCUGCAGCUGCCAGCCUAUGCCACAGCCACAGCAACUUGGGACCUGAGCUGUGUCUGUGACCUACACCACAGCUCGCGGCAACACCAGAUCCCACUGAGCAAGGCCAGGGAUCAAACCUGCAUCCUCAUGGAACUGGUCGGGUUCUUAACCUGCUGAUCCACAAUGGGAGCUCCUAGAAUUCCAUUUCUUGAUAGGGGGGUGGGUUACACAGUGCACGUAUUUUCUGAAAUCAUUCAACUUGUAAUCUGUGCAUUUCACUGAGCAUAGGUUAUCCCUCAAUUUAACAAGAAGAAAAAGAAAGAGGGAAAAGAAGAGGUCGCAGACAAGAGGGGGAUGAGAAGAGGAGAAAAGUCACCCAGAAAAGUGGGAGAAUGAAUGGAGAGGAGAAGUGUGGCAUUAAAGACCCACUGGAGAUUAAUGGUCAUUACGUCAAUCAACAGACUGUGGUGCGUUACUCCCCACCCAUAUUCAGCUGCACAGGUGCAAGGCAGAGCUGGGCUGACCCAGAACCGUGGUUUUGCCAAGCAGGUAGCAUGAAGAGGAAGAGAUAUGCAAAGGAGGUUCUGCAAUGAUUGACCACAGUGAUGAUGGUUUUCAAAAUAAGGCUGUACCGUGUCUGAACUGAAUAUCAAAUCCAUUCACAGACUGAAAUAGAUACCACGGCUGUCAAGGUAGAAACACUCAGGUAGAUUACAGAAAACACUUUCUUGUUGAUCUGUCUUGUAAUCAGCAUCACCGAAGCUUUUAAUCAUCUCUGAUUGCAUCUUAUCCUGUUAAAUGUAUUCAUGUGCUCUUUGGAGAUCUUCUAUUCCAAGGAAGGGGCCCUCUUUUAGGAAGACAGGGAGAAAUGCAUUCUUCACACCUGCACAUUUUCUGGCUACUUGCCUCGUGGGCCAAGGACACGGCCAUCUUUGCCCGUCUGGGUUUCUGGUAGUAAAUUCUGCCACUGCCCUCUGCCAGGUUGGCCCAGUGGUAGAUAGAGUGAAUCACUGCCCAGGGGAUGUGAUUCCAGUGGUGCAGUCCAGUCUCUUGCCCUUGAAUACCACCUUUCUUGCCUAACGUCUUGGCUGAUGUCUACAUGUCACCAAAAUUAUAGUCUCCCAGCUUAAGGUUUUAAUCAUAAAUCAAAAUUCAUGUAAUCUUGUUAUCAAUAAAUUAUACUUUACACUAGAAAUGUUCCCAUCCUACCCUCUACACGCCUGCAAGGUUUAGACAGAAGGGUGAAGACUUUGGGAAGUUCCCAGGAAAAAGGGUUUUGUCUUUGGGCUGACAGUCUCGCUGCCCCUCUCUCCACCAAAGGCCCCACUUACAGGUCCAUGGCUCCCUGCAGGGACGGUGAACACAGCACAGACCAUCUGUUUGGCUGCCUUGACUCUCAUGGAAGCUCCCCCAAUUUGCCUACACCAGCCUGUUUGAGACAACAUUUUUUUAUUUUUAUUUUUUUGGCCAGGGAUGGAACCUGCACCACAACAGUAAUCUGAGCCACGGCAGAGACAACAGCAGAUCCUUAACCCACUGAACCACCAGGGAACUCCCUGGGACAAUUUCUUUACCAAAGGGUCAAGGUCACUUUAAAGGGAAGGUAUGCAAGGAAAUGUUAAGCUGCAUGCUAGACGUGACUUUCAUCUGAAUCCAAAGGUAACGGGAACCUAAGAUGUUAAUUCUUCAUGACAGGGUUGCUGCUUGGGCUCAGACCCAGUCUGUUCGUAUCCCGAAUCUAGCGCCCUCAAAUCUAAGCAUCACCCCCAAAGAGGUCCUGCCUCUGACUUUCAGAAGGAAAAUCAGCUCUUCUGAAAAAUUGUUCCCCUCACCUAGAGGGACCCAUUUUCACCCCCAGAAUUCAUCCUCCUCUCCCCUAUUAGCGUAUAUCCACACCCAGGCCUUUCAGCAGCGGCUUCACUGAGACACUCAGCAAUUACACAACGAUGCACCCCUGUUCCUCUAGACAGGGAUUGGGAGGGGAGGGGCCACCCAGGGUGAGCAUAGCCCUCCCCCUCACUCUCCUCUUGAAGGGUUAGUUGAGGGUACUCACCUGUUUACUAACACCUGUUACUUCAAAGGUAGACCCGUUACACCAAGUCCAUCCACACAUCCUUCGGGGACAAACAAACAUUACUGCUCAUGGACAGUCUAAACCCAUCAUGAGAAGAAAAUAUGUACUAAUAUCAUUAUAAUUUUUCCUUCCCUGGAGCCAGGAAGUCACAUUAUUACACAAAAGAGAAACCACUAGCUUCUUUCUUGCUCCCACAUUCUUUUUUUUUUUUUUGGCUGCACUUGCAGCAUAAGGAAGUUCCUAGGCCAGGAAUAGACUCCAAGCCCCUGCUGCAACCUAUGCAGCUGCUACAGUAACAGCAGAUCCUUAACGCAUUGUGCCGGGCCAGGAAUCAGGGCCGGGAACAGAACCUGUGCCUCAGCAGCAAGCCAAGCAGCUGCAGAGACAACACUUGAGCCUUAAUCUGCUGCUCCGCAGCAGGAACGCCUCACUCCCACAUCCUUGAAGGACGCUCCCUUGGUUGAAAAGUUCUGAGAUAAGCAUCUGGUGCAGGUUCACUCCCAUUCUGCUCAGUUCUCAUCCCGUGUAAAGCAGGUAAAGCCAGGCUGUGGUAUCCGGGUUUCCACAUUGGUGAUGCUAAGUGCUGGACGACAGCAUCUCCCUGGUACCCUUCUCCCUCCUCACACUAGUCUCCCCACCCCCCGAUUUAAGGAGGGGGUGAGGCAGAGAAGUGUUGACACAGAGGCAUCCUGUGCUUUGACGGCAGAACUGAGGUUGGGAACAUAAACAUGGGGUAAAAUGUGUGAUGGGGGGACAGGCACAAGAGGAAACAAGCCGGAAUGACGCACAGGGCAGAUCAUGACCGGACUUGCAGGCCACUCUACUCCCUGCAGUCCUUUGACAGCAUAAGGAAGAAAUUCUGAGGGCUGGCUUGCCCAGACUGCUGGCUCAUCAGCUGCCUAGGAGGCUCUCACAGGAAAAAAAAAAAAAAAGAUUUUGAGGUCUAUGGGUCCCACAAUAUUAUUUUGCUUCUGAGUAACAAAGAAAAAAGAAAUAAUUUGACAACUAUUGGUUAAACAUAUAUACAGUAUAACGGGGUCAACAUAUAUUGAUAAGAUAGUGAAUAAAACUGAAAAGUAGUUAGCAAGGUGUAGAUGGGUGACAGUCAGUUACAGAAGAAAUAAGAUACCCCAGUAGCAAAACUAUGAAGAGCUCCUAGAAAGCAUCAGUACUUAGAUGUCAAAAUCCUGAUUCUAUUAGUUUAUUCACACCUGUUUUUUUUAAGUCUCACUUCUUAAUAACAUUAUCUAAUUUUUGCCCAGAAAAUGCUUUUACACAUAUCACUGCACAAAAGGCCAAGAAGCAGAGUAUUAUUAUCUUCACUUCUAUUUAUGAGAAAAGGCCUGGAAGAAUUCAGUGGCUUGUUCGAAAUCACACAGGGACAAUGAGACAGCCACCCCCAUCGCCAGGACCAUGCCUAUGCCUGCCACAGACCUCUGACCUCGCCAUUCCCUCUGCUUGGAAAGCCCUUCCCCCCAGCCCCACUUGGCUGGCUCCUCACCAUCCUACAGUCAUCCCAAAUGUUUCCCCAGUUUAAAGUCACCAUCCCCCAUUCCAAGUGCCCCUCUACCCCAAGAGUCUUUAAACUACAUCCCUCAGGCCAAAUCUGGCCCGCCCACCUGUUGUGUUUGUUGUUUUUGUAAAUAAAGUUUUACUGG
RNAcentral lists this long non-coding RNA (3739 nucleotides) under Sus scrofa (pig). RNAcentral describes it as "lncRNA (ENSSSCG00000059933.1, ENSSSCG00105004426.1, ENSSSCG00130016920.1)". The record is from RNAcentral. Lineage: Eukaryota; Metazoa; Chordata; Mammalia; Artiodactyla; Suidae.